RNAcentral lists this ribosomal RNA (439 nucleotides) under uncultured bacterium. RNAcentral describes it as "partial 16S ribosomal RNA". It matches the Rfam family "Bacterial small subunit ribosomal RNA", at positions 338 to 794 of the family's 1533-position model. The record is from RNAcentral.
CCUACGGGAGGCAGCAGUAAGGAAUAUUGCGCAAUGGGGGCAACCCUGACGCAGCAACGCCGCGUGGGCGAUGAAGGCCUUCGGGUCGUAAAGCCCUUUUCUGUGGGACGAUAAUGACGGUACCACAGGAAUAAGCCACGGCUAACUACGUGCCAGCAGCCGCGGUAAUACGUAGGUGGCUAGCGUUAUCCGGAUUCACUGGGCGUAAAGAGCGCGUAGGCGGUGUGCUAAGUUGGACGUGAAAGCCCCCGGCUUAACCGGGGGAGGUCGUCCAAUACUGGUGCACUUGAGGGUGGACGGGGAAAGCGGAAUUCCCGGUGUAGUGGUAAAAUGCGUAGAUAUCGGGAGGAACACCAGUGGCGAGGGCGGCUUUCUGGACUGUACCUGACGCUGAGACGCGAAAGCGUGGGGAGCAAACAGGAUUAGAUCCCCUUGUAGU